UGCUUCAAAUAUGGAAGUGCUCUCCCAGGGAAGACAGAGGGUCCCCGUGACCUGACCAGGAUGAAAGACGGACUUCUCCAUCGGAAAAGCGAAGUAUUCAGCAGAAGCUAGAGCCUGGGGUGUAGCUCCCCGGGUGACCCUGGCCCUCACGAAGGGGACACUUGUGUGUCGUCAGGCUCUUGUCUUCACAGGUGCACAGCACCCCGGUGAUUUCAGGAAAAGUGUUGCCAGUGCUGUCCAUGUCCUGCAGUCCCUGCCCGCCGGGCAGUUACUCCAGGAGACUCGGGUUUCCGCUCAGGACCUCCCACUUCCCUCUCUCCGGGCUCUGCUUUCCUCAUCUGCACAACAGUGCUCCUGGCCUGGCCUCCCUUCCAGGUGCAGAAUCAGGACAUUCAUUCAUCCAGGAUGCAUUUCCGCAAGAAGGACCAGAAGUGUCCUCUACCCAGGAAGGGAGUGACACCUUCUCACUUCCCCUGCCCCAGACAGACUGACCGACAGAUUACCUGACCUGGGAGAUAACCUUUGAGGGCCAUCCCGGCUGGCUGGAGGGUGGGGGGCAAAGUCCCUUGAAGUUCUCGAAUGCUUUCCGUCAGGCUGUUCCGGACCCUCCUUCGACAUGAGCAACGUUAUGCGGCGUGGUUAAGUGCCAGGCUCAGUGAGGUCAGGCUGCCAGGAGGCAGAAUCUGGAUCCUUCUCUGUCACCACUUGGGCACAUUAGACCGUCACUUAUCAUCUUGAAUCUUCUGCUUCCUGGGCUGAAAAAUGGAGAUAAAGGGUAGUAUCUACCUGACAGAAAUGUUGUAAGUAGUCAAUGUGAGUAAAGCGCAUAGUGCAUGAGGCAUCUGGUCGUUUGUUUAUUCAUUCGUUGAACAAACCUGCUUAUGUGGUGAGUCUAAGGCAGGUGAACUCCAAGUGCUGGCUUCUCGGGGAGCCAAGGCAGGACGGCUGUUGAGUUCUGCACAUAUUCAAUGAGCAUUUUCUAUGUCAGGGUGACACUGGCUGUCUUCCCAUGUAUGUCAGCCUAUCGAAGCCUGUGUGAUCCUGUUCAGCCCUUGCUGAAGCUCUGUGAGGCA
This 1073-nucleotide long non-coding RNA is filed under the name Equus asinus (donkey). RNAcentral's name for it is "lncRNA (ENSEASG00005036609.1)". Lineage: Eukaryota; Metazoa; Chordata; Mammalia; Perissodactyla; Equidae. The record is from RNAcentral.